Molecule: RNA transcript, 1451 nt
Organism: Diabrotica virgifera virgifera (western corn rootworm)
Lineage: Eukaryota; Metazoa; Arthropoda; Insecta; Coleoptera; Chrysomelidae
Exons: 3
Source: RefSeq, a predicted model, not a curated record
AAAAGUCAGUUUUUAUAAAAUUUCAUGUAACCAUUUUUAAAACAAUCCACUAAAUCAUUUUAAUCUUAAAAAACAUUCAUUUAGUCGAUCAUAACCAAAGUUAUACUUUUAAAACAUAUCUCAUGCUGAUUUUUAACAAAAUAAUACAGAUACAAAAUGGAAUUGACCGAUAAUAUCGAAAACUCAGAUUCAAAGAUAUUGACUUUUAGUUCUCAUACCUCUUCAGACUGUGGAAAUGGAGACUUCGAUAUGGAUGAUAUUGCUAAUAUCAGGGAGCUUUCAAACCAAACUAGUUAUAUGCGUCCCCGGUCUACCAAGGAAUUUGAAGACGAACUUUCCAACCUCAAAAAGGAAAAUUUUAAUCUUAAACUAAGGAUAUAUUUUUUAGAAGAAAAGAUGGGAAGCAGUUUUACAUUAGAUAAAGAUAAUAUGGUGAAGCAAUAUAUAGAAUUGCAAGUAAGCUAUGCUAACCUAAAAGAAGAGCUUGAAGAAAAACAACAUCUUUUAUGUCAAGCUGUUACAGCUAUAGAGAUAGAUGACAAAGAACAUAAAAAAUAUGUAGCUAAUAAAGAUGAGCAAAUAUUCAAGUUACAACAAGAAAUAGAAAAGCUUAGGACUCAAUUGCAAGAUACAAAGUACGAAAUCGAUAGUGGGUAUUUUAGCAGUAAUACUACAAACAAUAUGAAUAACGAACUUGAACAAAAAAUGAAAAUACUAGAACAAGAACUUCAAUCAGAAAAAGACAAUAAUAUUUCCUUGCAGUUUGUAAUCAGUCAAAUUGAAACUUUUAAAAGUCGUUGUGACAAUAUGCAAAAGGAACUUCAAGCUAAAGAGGCAAUAUUAGAAACCCUAAAAACUGAAAAUACAGCCUUAAAUUCUAGAAUUUCAGCAUACUCCAUUCAGAUGAAAGAUACUCAACAAAAACUGGAGUUUACAUGUAAAGAAAACCAAAAAUUGACAACAAAGAUUAUUUUAGAACACCAAAAAUUUGAUGAACUAUUAUCGAAUUAUAAAGAACUUAAUAGUAAAUACAAUUACACUAAAGCAGGACUCGAAAGAGAACACAAAGAAUUUGAAACUAUGAAAUUAGAAUAUGACAAAAAAAUAUGCGAAUUAGAAAAAGAAAAUAGUAAACUUAGGUUGAAAAUUAGAGACCUGCGAUUAAAAUUGGAUGCGGCGUUAACAGAAAUUAAGAAAAAUCAAACUCUAGCAUUUAGAACUCAACAACACCUACAAGAAUUAAGAAAAAGAACACAUUACAUGUACAAGUAAAUUUUUGACUUACCCACUCAAGUCACUCAAGUAACUACCAACAGUCUGACUACAGAGAUAAUCGACCAUAUUGUGAACCCCUUAAAUAUUGUACAGAUCAAUAUCCUUAUGAACAAGAAAGUGUUAUUUGCCCAGCAGUAUCAGCACAACACCAAACACAAUUGCCAAUAACAUAUCAA